UUAAGCGACUAAGCGUACACGGUGGAUGCCCUGGCAGUCAGAGGCGAUGAAGGACGUGCUAAUCUGCGAAAAGCGUCGGUAAGGUGAUAUGAACCGUUAUAACCGGCGAUGUCCGAAUGGGGAAACCCAGUGCAAUUCGUUGCACUAUCGUUAACUGAAUACAUAGGUUAACGAGGCGAACCGGGGGAACUGAAACAUCUAAGUACCCCGAGGAAAAGAAAUCAACCGAGAUUCCCCCAGUAGCGGCGAGCGAACGGGGAGCAGCCCAGAGUCUGAAUCAGCUUGUGUGUUAGUGGAACGGUCUGGAAAGUCCGACGGUACAGGGUGAUAGUCCCGUACACCAAAAUGCACAGGCUGUGAACUCGAAGAGUAGGGCGGGACACGUGGUAUCCUGUCUGAAUAUGGGGGGACCAUCCUCCAAGGCUAAAUACUCCUGACUGACCGAUAGUGAACCAGUACCGUGAGGGAAAGGCGAAAAGAACCCCGGCGAGGGGAGUGAAAAAGAACCUGAAACCGUGUACGUACAAGCAGUGGGAGCACCUUCGGGUGUGACUGCGUACCUUUUGUAUAAUGGGUCAGCGACUUAUAUUCUGUAGCAAGGUUAACCGUAUAGGGGAGCCGCAGGGAAACCGAGUCUUAACUGGGCGUUAAGUUGCAGGGUAUAGACCCGAAACCCGGUGAUCUAGCCAUGGGCAGGUUGAAGGUUGGGUAACACUAACUGGAGGACCGAACCGACUAAUGUUGAAAAAUUAGCGGAUGACUUGUGGCUGGGGGUGAAAGGCCAAUCAAACCGGGAGAUAGCUGGUUCUCCCCGAAAGCUAUUUAGGUAGCGCCUCGUGAAUUCAUCUUCGGGGGUAGAGCACUGUUUCGGCUAGGGGGUCAUCCCGACUUACCAACCCGAUGCAAACUACGAAUACCGAAGAAUGUUAUCACGGGAGACACACGGCGGGUGCUAACGUCCGUCGUGAAGAGGGAAACAACCCAGACCGCCAGCUAAGGUCCCAAAGUCAUGGUUAAGUGGGAAACGAUGUGGGAAGGCACAGACAGCCAGGAUGUUGGCUUAGAAGCAGCCAUCAUUUAAAGAAAGCGUAAUAGCUCACUGGUCGAGUCGGCCUGCGCGGAAGAUGUAACGGGGCUAAACCAUGCACCGAAGCUGCGGCAGCGACACUAUGUGUUGUUGGGUAGGGGAGCGUUCUGUAAGCCUGCGAAGGUGACCUGUGAGGGUUGCUGGAGGUAUCAGAAGUGCGAAUGCUGACAUAAGUAACGAUAAAGCGGGUGAAAAGCCCGCUCGCCGGAAGACCAAGGGUUCCUGUCCAACGUUAAUCGGGGCAGGGUGAGUCGACCCCUAAGGCGAGGCCGAAAGGCGUAGUCGAUGGGAAACAGGUUAAUAUUCCUGUACUUGGUGUUACUGCGAAGGGGGGACGGAGAAGGCUAUGUUAGCCGGGCGACGGUUGUCCCGGUUUAAGCAUGUAGGCUGGUUGUCCAGGCAAAUCCGGAUAAUCAAGGCUGAGGUGUGAUGACGAGGCACUACGGUGCUGAAGUAACAAAUGCCCUGCUUCCAGGAAAAGCCUCUAAGCAUCAGGUAACAUCAAAUCGUACCCCAAACCGACACAGGUGGUCAGGUAGAGAAUACCAAGGCGCUUGAGAGAACUCGGGUGAAGGAACUAGGCAAAAUGGUGCCGUAACUUCGGGAGAAGGCACGCUGGUGUGUAGGUGAAGUCCCUGCGGAUGGAGCUGAGACCAGUCGAAGAUACCAGCUGGCUGCAACUGUUUAUUAAAAACACAGCACUGUGCAAACACGAAAGUGGACGUAUACGGUGUGACGCCUGCCCGGUGCCGGAAGGUUAAUUGAUGGGGUUAUCCGUAAGGAGAAGCUCUUGAUCGAAGCCCCGGUAAACGGCGGCCGUAACUAUAACGGUCCUAAGGUAGCGAAAUUCCUUGUCGGGUAAGUUCCGACCUGCACGAAUGGCGUAAUGAUGGCCAGGCUGUCUCCACCCGAGACUCAGUGAAAUUGAACUCGCUGUGAAGAUGCAGUGUACCCGCGGCAAGACGGAAAGACCCCGUGAACCUUUACUAUAGCUUGACACUGAACAUUGAGCCUUGAUGUGUAGGAUAGGUGGGAGGCUUUGAAGCGUGGACGCCAGUCUGCGUGGAGCCAACCUUGAAAUACCACCCUUUAAUGUUUGAUGUUCUAACGUUGGCCCCUUACCGGGGUUGCGGACAGUGUCUGGUGGGUAGUUUGACUGGGGCGGUCUCCUCCCAAAGCGUAACGGAGGAGCACGAAGGUUAGCUAAUCCUGGUCGGACAUCAGGAGGUUAGUGCAAUGGCAUAAGCUAGCUUGACUGCGAGCGUGACGGCGCGAGCAGGUGCGAAAGCAGGUCAUAGUGAUCCGGUGGUUCUGAAUGGAAGGGCCAUCGCUCAACGGAUAAAAGGUACUCCGGGGAUAACAGGCUGAUACCGCCCAAGAGUUCAUAUCGACGGCGGUGUUUGGCACCUCGAUGUCGGCUCAUCACAUCCUGGGGCUGAAGUAGGUCCCAAGGGUAUGGCUGUUCGCCAUUUAAAGUGGUACGCGAGCUGGGUUUAGAACGUCGUGAGACAGUUCGGUCCCUAUCUGCCGUGGGCGCUGGAGAAUUGAGGGGGGCUGCUUCUAGUACGAGAGGACCGGAGUGGACGCAUCACUGGUGUUCGGGUUGUCAUGCCAAUGGCACUGCCCGGUAGCUAAAUGCGGAAGAGAUAAGUGCUGAAAGCAUCUAAGCACGAAACUUGCCCCGAGAUGAGUUCUCCCUGAGACUUUAAGUCUCCUGAAGGAACGUUGAAGACGACGACGUUGAUAGGCCGGGUGUGUAAGCGCAGCGAUGCGUUGAGCUAACCGGUACUAAUGAACCGUGAGGCUUAACCUU
This 2900-nucleotide ribosomal RNA is filed under the name Klebsiella pneumoniae. RNAcentral's name for it is "bacterial LSU rRNA". It matches the Rfam family "Bacterial large subunit ribosomal RNA". The record is from RNAcentral. Lineage: Bacteria; Pseudomonadati; Pseudomonadota; Gammaproteobacteria; Enterobacterales; Enterobacteriaceae.